This is a long non-coding RNA of Glycine soja, 627 nucleotides long. RefSeq lists it as uncharacterized. The transcript is spliced from 2 exons. The record is from RefSeq and is a predicted model, not a curated record. NCBI's taxonomy places the organism in Eukaryota, Viridiplantae, Streptophyta, Magnoliopsida, Fabales, Fabaceae.
GCACGGACCCAACCCUAGAAUCCAUCCUCCUCUACUCCCACACCGACGUGGUCCCCUCCGAACACUCCAAGUGGGCCCACCACCCCUUCCGCGCCAACCUCGACUCCGAGGGGAGUUACAGGCCGUUCUACGCGGAGAGGAACCCCUGGUGGCUGGUCAUUAAUGCCGUUGGGGCUCCUGCACAUGGCUCCAAGCUUUAUGAUAAGCUUUUGUGGUUUGUGUCUAUUGAAUUUCUACACAAAGAUGAAUACUUGAAAGGGGUUCAAAUCUAUGAGUCAAUAAUUAAGGUAUAUGCAUCCUUCAAUGAUCAAGGAAAAGAUGGAGGAUCCAGAGAUGAGUUAUGAGCAAGUGGUGCAGCACCUGCCCUUCCUAGCCCUAAUGCCCACUUUUUGCCUUUUCUCGAUGUAACAAUAAAGAGGAAAAUAAUAUUUGAACUGACUCCUUUCUUGUUUACUAGCUUCUGACACGUAACAAUAAACAAAUGAGUCGGUUACAAACUUUGCUUGGAGCAACUUGGCCCUUGCGUGUGAAUGCUUUCUCAAAACUGGAAGGCGUUUUAUCAAAUCACCUCAAAUGAGACUUGGACAUGAACAAAGCGAGACUUGGUUAGGCGAGUUCUUCUAGUCA